GACGAACGCUGGCGGCGUGCUUAACACAUGCAAGUCGAACGGAAAGGCCCUGCUUUUGUGGGGUGCUCGAGUGGCGAACGGGUGAGUAACACGUGAGUAACCUGCCCUUGACUUUGGGAUAACUUCAGGAAACUGGAGCUAAUACCGGAUAGGAGCUCCUGCUGCAUGGGGGGGGUUGGAAAGUUUCGGCGGUUGGGGAUGGACUCGCGGCUUAUCAGCUUGUUGGUGGGGUAGUGGCUUACCAAGGCUUUGACGGGUAGCCGGCCUGAGAGGGUGACCGGCCACAUUGGGACUGAGAUACGGCCCAGACUCCUACGGGAGGCAGCAGUGGGGAAUAUUGCACAAUGGGCGGAAGCCUGAUGCAGCAACGCCGCGUGCGGGAUGACGGCCUUCGGGUUGUAAACCGCUUUCGCCUGUGACGAAGCGUGAGUGACGGUAAUGGGUAAAGAAGCACCGGCUAACUACGUG
RNAcentral lists this ribosomal RNA (468 nucleotides) under uncultured bacterium. Its description in RNAcentral is "partial 16S ribosomal RNA". It matches the Rfam family "Bacterial small subunit ribosomal RNA", at positions 28 to 507 of the family's 1533-position model. The record is from RNAcentral.